GCGCCUAUAGCUCAGGUGGAUAGAGCACAGGAUUCCUAAUCCUGUGGCCCCUGGUUCGAGUCCAGGUAGGCGCA
This 74-nucleotide transfer RNA is filed under the name bacterium. Its description in RNAcentral is "tRNA-Arg". It matches the Rfam family "tRNA". Rfam says of the family: Transfer RNA (tRNA) molecules are approximately 80 nucleotides in length. The record is from RNAcentral.